UAGCUUUGGACCCGUGUCUGCCGGUAGAUCCCCCGUCUUCGUGCGGCCGACUACAGGCGCCGUGUCCCGUCGUUCGUUUGGCUUAUAUGAUGAUGUCGCCUUUCAAGUGCUUGCGUGCUGGUACCCGACCUACGGGAAGUGGUGCUUCUAACACGUUUGCCUCGCGGUGGACACCUUCGGGUGUGCCGCUGCGGCCUAACGGCGCUUGCGGCGUUUCCUCGUGGUUCCGGCACUCCUAGUGCCCGGUGCUACCAAGGCAGCCUCGCUCCCGCUGUUGGUCUCGGAUGUUGCUCACGAUAAAGAGUCUUGGCAACCUUUUGGUUGCCAGGACCUGACCCUUAAGAUGCUCUCCGAAUUUGAGAACAACCGUGAACAGGUGUUGCCUCUACCUCUCCACAGUUAGUGGUAGGAUACGUAACAUUCUGCGCCGAUCCUCAAUCAAGUAGGAUGAGCUUGGCCCGCUCAAUCGCGACAACCGGCUCGGCCGUUGCCUCGGCCUUGACACGCAAGUGGAAGGGCGGACAAAGACCGACGCUGGACGUCAACGAGGACAUGCUACCUGGGUGA
This 567-nucleotide unclassified non-coding RNA is filed under the name Lolium temulentum f. arvense. Its description in RNAcentral is "partial external transcribed spacer". Lineage: Eukaryota; Viridiplantae; Streptophyta; Magnoliopsida; Poales; Poaceae. The record is from RNAcentral.